Molecule: ribosomal RNA, 450 nt
Filed under: uncultured organism
Description: partial 16S ribosomal RNA
Rfam family: Bacterial small subunit ribosomal RNA
Source: RNAcentral
CACUCCUGCGGGAGGCAGCAGUGGGGAAUAUUGGACCAUGGGCGCAAGCCUGAUCCAGCCAUGCCGCGUGAGUGAUGAAGGCCCUAGGGUUGUAAAGCUCUUUCACCGGUGAAGAUAAUGACGGUAACCGGAGAAGAAGCCCCGGCUAACUUCGUGCCAGCAGCCGCGGUAAUACGAAGGGGGCUAGCGUUGUUCGGAUUUACUGGGCGUAAAGCGCACGUAGGCGGACUAUUAAGUCAGGGGUGAAAUCCCGGGGCUCAACCCCGGAACUGCCUUUGAUACUGGUAGUCUUGAGUUCGAGAGAGGUGAGUGGAAUUCCGAGUGUAGAGGUGAAAUUCGUAGAUAUUCGGAGGAACACCAGUGGCGAAGGCGGCUCACUGGCUCGAUACUGACGCUGAGGUGCGAAAGCGUGGGGAGCAAACAGGAUUAGAUACCCGGGUAGUCCCAUGA